This 432-nucleotide ribosomal RNA is filed under the name uncultured bacterium. RNAcentral describes it as "bacterial SSU rRNA". It matches the Rfam family "Bacterial small subunit ribosomal RNA", at positions 355 to 775 of the family's 1533-position model. The record is from RNAcentral.
UCGAGGAUCUUCAGCAAUGGGGGAAACCCUGACCGAGCGACGCCGCGUGCGGGAUGAAGGCCUUCGGGUUGUAAACCGCUGUCAGAGGGGAGGAAAUGCCGGGAAGUAAUUCAUAAUCGACCCGGUUUGACCUAUCCUCAGAGGAAGGACGGGCUAAGUUCGUGCCAGCAGCCGCGGUAAUACGAACCGUCCAAACGUUAUUCGGAAUCACUGGGCUUAAAGGGUGCGUAGGCGGCCCGAAAAGUUGGGUGUGAAAGCCCUCGGCUCAACCGAGGAACUGCGCCCAAAACUGCCGGGCUCGAGGGAGACAGAGGUGAGCGGAACUUAGGGUGGAGCGGUGAAAUGCGUUGAUAUCCUAAGGAACACCAGUAGCGUAAGCGGCUCACUGGGUCUCUUCUGACGCUGAGGCACGAAAGCUAGGGGAGCGAAGAG